UCCAGUUUGAAAUUGAGAAUUUAUAUCCGUUAUUUCCGAUACUUUUACACGUCGCUAGAAAAAUGCCGAUCCAGUAAAGCCCCAAAAUUAAAAUCGCCUGCUCGAUCCCGUCACCGUACGUGAUCUCACCGCUCAGUGAGAAACACGAGAUCGAUGAACAAGUCAAAUUGCAGUAAUUAGGGCGCCAAUUUUGAGAUAAAGAGCGAGAAUCGGCAGGAGAAUCAGGAGACUAGUAGCGAAGAAACUAAUCAUUGAUUGUGUGCAACCUAAUUUCAGCUACGAAUUAACAUUGAUGAUCAGAGGCAGGUGGGUUGAUUGUAACAUGACUUGCUGCCUGGAAGCAUGUCGAGUGGUUUUCAAACUCCACCAUUUGGAUGACCCUUUUCUCGUGAACUCGGGGUGAUGAAGGUGUGAGCAAGAGAAAACGGCUCCUGACAAGUGAAAUGCUCGCUUUUAUAGCUCAUGUUUGAUUACUGGAUUCCUCUUCAUGUGUAAGUCAACAUAUUGACAGGCAAAAAUAUUGAUGGAACAAUGUUGUGUCAUUGUGCGUUCUUUUGUAUAUUUUAACCAUUUAGUGGAAUUAAAAGGAAUGAAAAAGAAAGAGAAAAAUAUCUUAU
This is a long non-coding RNA of Asparagus officinalis (garden asparagus), 617 nucleotides long. RefSeq lists it as uncharacterized. The record is from RefSeq and is a predicted model, not a curated record. Lineage: Eukaryota; Viridiplantae; Streptophyta; Magnoliopsida; Asparagales; Asparagaceae. The transcript is spliced from 4 exons.